GACGAACGCUGGCGACGUGCUUAACACAUGCAAGUCGAACGAAAAGACGGAAAGAGCUUGCUCUUUCCGGAAUUGAGUGGCAAACGGGUGAGUAACACGUAAACAACCUGCCUUCAGGAUGGGGACAACAGACGGAAACGACUGCUAAUACCGAAUAAGUUCCAAGAGCCGCAUGGCCCAUGGAAGAAAAGGUGGCCUCUACCUGUAAGCUAUCGCCUGAAGAGGGGUUUGCGUCUGAUUAGCUGGUUGGAGGGGUAACGGCCCACCAAGGCGACGAUCAGUAGCCGGUCUGAGAGGAUGAACGGCCACACUGGAACUGAGACACGGUCCAGACUCCUACGGGAGGCAGCAGUGGGGAAUCUUCCGCAAUGGGCGAAAGCCUGACGGAGCAACGCCGCGUGAGUGAUGACGGCCUUCGGGUUGUAAAACUCUGUGAUCCGGGACGAAAAGGCAGAGUGCGAAGAACAAACUGCAUUGACGGUACCGGAAAAGCAAGCCACGGCUAACUACGUGCCAGCAGCCGCGGUAAUACGUAGGUGGCAAGCGUUGUCCGGAAUUAUUGGGCGUAAAGCGCGCGCAGGCGGCUUCCCAAGUCCCUCUUAAAAGUGCGGGGCUUAACCCCGUGAUGGGAAGGAAACUGGGAAGCUGGAGUAUCGGAGAGGAAAGUGGAAUUCCUAGUGUAGCGGUGAAAUGCGUAGAGAUUAGGAAGAACACCGGUGGCGAAGGCGACUUUCUGGACGAAAACUGACGCUGAGGCGCGAAAGCGUGGGGAGCAAACAGG
RNAcentral lists this ribosomal RNA (781 nucleotides) under uncultured Dialister sp. RNAcentral describes it as "bacterial SSU rRNA". It matches the Rfam family "Bacterial small subunit ribosomal RNA", at positions 28 to 776 of the family's 1533-position model. The record is from RNAcentral. Lineage: Bacteria; Bacillati; Bacillota; Negativicutes; Veillonellales; Veillonellaceae.